Molecule: RNase P RNA, 245 nt
Filed under: Elusimicrobiota bacterium
Lineage: Bacteria; Pseudomonadati; Elusimicrobiota
Description: Elusimicrobia bacterium (anaerobic digester metagenome) RNase P RNA component class A
Rfam family: Bacterial RNase P class A
About the family: Ribonuclease P (RNase P) is a ubiquitous endoribonuclease, found in archaea, bacteria and eukarya as well as chloroplasts and mitochondria.
Source: RNAcentral
CGGCGGCGCUGAUCGGUCGCUCUGCAAAUUGCAGGGAGGAAAGUCCGGACUCCGUAGGGCGGGACGGGAAAGUGGCACAGAAACCAGGUCUGCUGGCUUUGCCAGUAAGAGUGAAAAGGCUAAACCCCAUCCGGAGCAAGGCCUAAUAGGGACCAUAGUUGCUGCUCGCAGCGUUUGAAGGUCUGGGUAGGCUGCUAAGAUAAAUGACCGUUAAAACAGAAUCCGGCUUACUGCGCCGUCACCUU